Molecule: long non-coding RNA, 526 nt
Filed under: Ficedula albicollis (Collared flycatcher)
Lineage: Eukaryota; Metazoa; Chordata; Aves; Passeriformes; Muscicapidae
Description: lncRNA (ENSFALG00000028869.1)
Source: RNAcentral
AGCCCGCUCACUCUGCACAGAAAUCACCUGCAAGAGAGACCCAGCCCUGAGCCAUUCUGGUCACAGCACUCCCACUGUGACGCCAAAGAAAGGCACAGGAGCCUCCUUGGACCAUCACCCUGUGCUUAUAGUCGUCUCUGCCAUGCUCUGAAAUGCUAGUUCCUGGAAAUGCCUUGCCACAGACACGGCUGAGGCCAGGACUAGCACAAGAUUAAAACUGGGCAUCUGAGUGUGGCUGCAGACAGUCGGGUUUCCCUGAGGGAAGCUGGACCACCCAAGGAUGUAGCCACUCUGUGAGCUGCUACUUCCAUUCAGAAUCUCAUAGGGGAAAUUACUUCAUCCUUGCUGAUACAGAUGACAACAAGAGGAACUUCUAGCAUUUGACAGGACUUCUAAAAAUAAAGCCACUACAACACAGAGCAUUCACUUCUACUGCAAUAUCCCAAUGAAAGGAAUAAAAAAAGAAGGCUGAAACUUGUCUUUGUUGUAUCCUGUGUUGCUUGUCUGAUACCAUCUGUGAUAUCAU